Molecule: ribosomal RNA, 465 nt
Filed under: Vreelandella stevensii
Lineage: Bacteria; Pseudomonadati; Pseudomonadota; Gammaproteobacteria; Oceanospirillales; Halomonadaceae
Description: partial 16S ribosomal RNA
Rfam family: Bacterial small subunit ribosomal RNA
Source: RNAcentral
CCUACGGGAGGCAGCAGUGGGGAAUAUUGGACAAUGGGCGAAAGCCUGAUCCAGCCAUGCCGCGUGUGUGAAGAAGGCCUUCGGGUUGUAAAGCACUUUCAGUGGGGAAGAAAGCCUUGGGGCUAAUACCCUCGAGGAAGGACAUCACCCACAGAAGAAGCACCGGCUAACUCCGUGCCAGCAGCCGCGGUAAUACGGAGGGUGCGAGCGUUAAUCGGAAUUACUAGGCGUAAAGCGCGCGUAGGCGGUCUGAUAAGCCGGUUGUGAAAGCCCCGGGCUCAACCUGGGAACGGCAUCCGGAACUGUCAGGCUAGAGUGCAGGAGAGGAAGGUAGAAUUCCCGGUGUAGCGGUGAAAUGCGUAGGGAUCGGGAGGAAUACCAGUGGCGAAGGCGGCCUUCUGGACUGACCCUGACGCUGAGGUGCGAAAGCGUGGGUAGCAAACAGGAUUAGAUACCCCAGUAGUC